This 1429-nucleotide ribosomal RNA is filed under the name Atyopsis spinipes. Its description in RNAcentral is "SSU rRNA". It matches the Rfam family "Eukaryotic small subunit ribosomal RNA", at positions 403 to 1778 of the family's 1831-position model. The record is from RNAcentral. Lineage: Eukaryota; Metazoa; Arthropoda; Malacostraca; Decapoda; Atyidae.
ACGGCUACCACAUCCAAGGAAGGCAGCAGGCACGCAAUUACCCAAUCCCGGCUCGGGGAGGUAGUGACGAAAAAUAACAAUGCGGGACUCAUCCGAGUCUACGUAAUUGGAAUGAGCACACUUUAAAUCCUAUAGCGACAACCCAUUGGAGGGCAAGUCUGGUGCCAGCAGCCGCGGUAAUUCCAGCUCCAAUAGCAUAUAUUAAAGUUGUUGCGGUUAAAAAGCUCGUAGUUCGAGUUCCGUUCCGGACUGGUCGGGGGGGUCACCGCCCGGUGCCUGCCCGCCAGCCUCCGGACAGCUCAAGCCCCGCCGGUUCUACGCCGGGGUGCUCUUCGCCGAGUGUCCCGCGCGGCCGGCACGUUUACCUUGAACAAAUAAGAGUGCUCAAGGCAGGCUACUCUUCAAACCUAUGCCCGAAAGAUAACUGCAUGGAAUAAUGAAAAAGGAUCUCGGCCUCAUUUCUGAUUGGCUCUGGGGGCCGAGAUAAUGAUAAAAAGAGACUGUCGGGGGCAUCCGUACUACGACGCGAGAGGUGAAAUUCUAUGACCGUCGUAGGACGAACAACAGCGAAAGCAUUUGCCAAGAAUGUCUUCAUUGAUCAAGAACGAAAGUUAGAGGAUCGAAGGCGAUCAGAUACCGCCCUAGUUCUAACCCUAAACGAUGCUGACUAGCAAUCCGCCGUCGUUAUUCCCAUGACGUGGCGGGCCGCCCCCGGGAAACCUCAAGUCUUUGAGUUCCGGGGGUAGUAUGGUUGCAAAACUGAAACUUAAAGGAAUUGACGGAAGGGCACCACCAGGAGUGGAGCCUGCGGCUUAAUUUGACUCAACACGGGAAACCUCACCAGGCCCAGACACUAGCAGGAUUGACAGAUUAAGAGCUCUUUCUCGAUUUGGUGGGUGGUGGUGCAUGGCCGUUCUUAGUUGGUGGAGUGAUUUGUCUGGUUAAUUCCGGUAACGAACGAGACUCUGGCCUACUAAAUAGUCGACGUGGUGGUUCGUUCGCAUGGCCACGUUCGAAUCUAUCUUCUUAGAGGGAUGAGCAGCAAGUGCAGCUGCAGGAGAUUGAGCAAUAACAGGUCUGUGAUGCCCUUAGAUGUUGUGGGCCGCACGCGCGCUACACUGAAAGGGUUAGCGGGUCCACCUUCUCCGAGAGGAGCGGGAAAUCGCUGCAAAACCUUUCAUGAUUGGGAUUGGGGCUUGCAAUUGUUCCCCAUGAACGAGGAAUUCCCAGUAAGCGCAAGUCAUCAGCUUGCGUUGAUUAAGUCCCUGCCCUUUGUACACACCGCCCGUCGAUACUACCGAUUGAAUGAUUUAGUGAGGCCUUCGGACUGGCGGCUUGGAUCUGGGCUCCGCUCGUCACUCCGGGCUUGCUCGGGGCCGGCGGACUCGCCUCGACUCGCCGGAAAGAUGUCCAAACUUGAUCAUUAGAG